This is a non-coding RNA of Trichonephila clavipes, 73 nucleotides long. Lineage: Eukaryota; Metazoa; Arthropoda; Arachnida; Araneae; Nephilidae. The record is from the annotation of a GenBank genome assembly.
AUCCCUGUAGCGAAAUGGAUAGCGUGUUGGACUUUUAAUUCGAAGGUCAUGGGUUCGAAUCCCACUUGGGAUG